GUGGCUUUAGCACAGCGGUAGUUGCGAGAGAUUGCAAUUCAAGAACAUCAUUGGUCUGAACCACAUCUCUAGGUCCCCGGUUCGAUCCCGGGAAGUCACU
Non-coding RNA from Apiotrichum porosum, 100 nucleotides. NCBI's taxonomy places the organism in Eukaryota, Fungi, Basidiomycota, Tremellomycetes, Trichosporonales, Trichosporonaceae. The record is from the annotation of a RefSeq genome assembly.